This 497-nucleotide ribosomal RNA is filed under the name uncultured bacterium. RNAcentral describes it as "partial 16S ribosomal RNA". It matches the Rfam family "Bacterial small subunit ribosomal RNA", at positions 28 to 507 of the family's 1533-position model. The record is from RNAcentral.
GAUGAACGCUGGCGGCGUGCCUAAUACAUGCAAGUCGAGCGAACGGACGAGAAGCUUGCUUCUCUGAUGUUAGCGGCGGACGGGUGAGUAACACGUGGCUAACCUACCUAUAAGACUGGGAUAACUUCGGGAAACCGUAGCUAAUACCGGAUAAUCUUUUGAACCGCAUGGUUCAAAAGUGAAAGACGGUCUUGCUGUUACUUAUAGAUGGAUCCGCGCUGCAUUAGCUAGUUGGUAAGGUAACGGCUUACCAAGGCAACGAUGCAUAGCCGACCUGAGAGGGUGAGCGGCCACACUGGAACUGAGACACGGUCCAGACUCCUACGGGAGGCAGCAGUAGGGAAUCUUCCGCAAUGGGCGAAAGCCUGACGGAGCAACGCCGCGUGAGUGAUGAAGGUCUUCGGAUCGUAAAACUCUGUUAUUAGGGAAGAACAUAUGUGUAAGUAACUGGGCACAUCGUGACGGUACCUAAACAGAAAGCCACGGCUAACUACGUG